Molecule: ribosomal RNA, 468 nt
Filed under: uncultured bacterium
Lineage: Bacteria
Description: partial 16S ribosomal RNA
Rfam family: Bacterial small subunit ribosomal RNA
Source: RNAcentral
GACGAACGCUGGCGGCGUGCUUAACACAUGCAAGUCGAACGGAAAGGCCCUGCUUUUGUGGGGUGCUCGAGUGGCAAACGGGUGAUUAACACGUGAGUAACCUGCCCUUGACUUUGGGAUAACUUCAGGAAACUGGGGCUAAUACCGGAUAGGAGCUCCUGCUGCAUGGUGGGGUUUGGAAAGUUUCGGCGGUUGGGGAUGGACUCGCGGCUUAUCAGCUUGUUGGUGGGGUAGUGGCUUACCAAGGCUUUGACGGGUAGCCGGCCUGAGAGGGUGACCGGCCACAUUGGGACUGAGAUACGGCCCAGACUCCUACGGGAGGCAGCAGUGGGGAAUAUUGCACAAUGGGCGGAAGCCUGAUGCAGCAACGCCGCGUGCGGGAUGACGGCCUUCGGGUUGUAAACCGCUUUCGCCUGUGACGAAGCGUGAGUGACGGUAAUGGGUAAAGAAGCACCGGCUAACUACGUG